This 460-nucleotide ribosomal RNA is filed under the name uncultured bacterium. RNAcentral's name for it is "partial 16S ribosomal RNA". It matches the Rfam family "Bacterial small subunit ribosomal RNA", at positions 338 to 795 of the family's 1533-position model. The record is from RNAcentral.
CCUACGGGAGGCAGCAGUGAGGAAUAUUGGUCAAUGGACGAGAGUCUGAACCAGCCAAGUAGCGUGAAGGAUGACUGCCUUAUGGGUUGUAACCUUCUUUUAUAAAGGAAUAAAACGAGGCACGUGUGCCUUUUUGCAUGUCCUUUAUGAAUAAGGAUCGGCUAAUUCCGUGCCAGCAGCCGCGGUAAUACGGAGGAUCCGAGCGUUAUCCGGUUUUUUUGGGUUUAAAGGGAGCGUAGAUGGGUUGUUAAGUCAGUUGGGAAAGUUUGCGGCUCAACCGGAAAAUUGCAAUUGAUACUGGCAGUCUUGAGUACAGUUGAGGUAAGCGGAAUGCGUGGUGUAGCGGUGAAAUGCUUAGAUAUCACGAAGAACCCCGAUUGCGAAGGCAGCUUACUAAACUGUGACUGACAUUGAUGCUCGAAAGUGUGGGUAUCAAACAGGAUUAGAUACCCGAGUAGUC